UAUGUGUUUCCUUUUUUUGAAAUAAGGUAGCAGCUGAGCUGAGUCUAUUUAGGAUUUUGGACAGGCAAAGAAAUCUUCCUUUUAAUUGCUCUGAUUAUUGUGCACUAAUAAGCAAAUCCUAAAUAUGUUUCUUGUUCAAGAUGAUCCUGGUUUUGGAAAUCCUGUGAAAUCUGGUGGAUGACAUAGAAGAUGGCCUGCUUAUCCCUCUCAUUUGCCAGGGACUAUCCCUGGCAAGGGAUUCAACAACAGCUUCACUGAGACAGAAUCAGGAGAUAUUUAGACUAAACUGGAAUCAGGUGGUGAAUUUGGUGCAAGCAUAAAGACCAUGAGAUCCACUAUGAAGUAUAUGAUGAUUGCUGAAAUCUACAAGAAUAUUUCUACUGACUUUGCUGGAAUUCAGAUCAAUCCUGAAUGUAUAAUGCCUUGUGAAAAAAUCAGUAUGUAA
RNAcentral lists this long non-coding RNA (445 nucleotides) under Dromaius novaehollandiae (emu). Its description in RNAcentral is "lncRNA (ENSDNVG00000010963.1)". Lineage: Eukaryota; Metazoa; Chordata; Aves; Casuariiformes; Dromaiidae. The record is from RNAcentral.